AGUGAACGCUGGCGGCGUGCCUAAUACAUGCAAGUCGAACGCGAAAGUCCUUCGGGAUGAGUAAAGUGGCGCACGGGUGGGUAAUGCAUGAGAACAUGCCCUUAGAUGGGGAAUAACGUUUGGAAACGAACGCUAAUACCGCAUAAUCUCGAGAGAGUAAAGGUGGCGCCGCAAGGGCUACCGUCUAAGGAUUGGCUCAUGUCCCAUUAGCUAGUUGGCGGGGUAAUGGCCCACCAAGGCAACGAUGGGUAUGUGGUCUGAGAGGAUGAUCACACACACUGGAACUGAGACACGGUCCAGACUCCUACGGGAGGCAGCAGUAGGGAAUAUUGCACAAUGGGGGAAACCCUGAUGCAGCAACGCCGCGUGAGUGAAGAAGGCCCUUGGGUCGUAAAGCUCUUUAGCGAGGGAAGAGGGUAGAUACGGUGAACAAUCGUGUUUGCUGACGGUACCUCGAGAAUAAGCACCGGCUAAUUUCGUGCCAGCAGCCGCGGUAA
Molecule: ribosomal RNA, 497 nt
Filed under: uncultured bacterium
Lineage: Bacteria
Description: partial 16S ribosomal RNA
Rfam family: Bacterial small subunit ribosomal RNA
Source: RNAcentral